GUAGAGGUUGCUGAGUGGUUAAGAGCACUGGCUGCUCUUCCAGAUGUCCUGAGUUCAAUUCCCAGCAACUACA
Neotoma lepida (desert woodrat) is the source of this 73-nucleotide transfer RNA. It matches the Rfam family "tRNA". Rfam says of the family: Transfer RNA (tRNA) molecules are approximately 80 nucleotides in length. Their secondary structure includes four short double-helical elements and three loops (D, anti-codon, and T loops). NCBI's taxonomy places the organism in Eukaryota, Metazoa, Chordata, Mammalia, Rodentia, Cricetidae. The record is from Rfam.